RNAcentral lists this ribosomal RNA (253 nucleotides) under uncultured bacterium. Its description in RNAcentral is "partial 16S ribosomal RNA". It matches the Rfam family "Bacterial small subunit ribosomal RNA", at positions 524 to 776 of the family's 1533-position model. The record is from RNAcentral.
UACGAAGGGGGCUAGCGUUGUUCGGAGUUACUGGGCGUAAAGGGCGCGUAGGCGGCGCACCAAGUCAGGCGUGAAAGCCCUGGGCUCAACCCGGGAAUUGCGCUUGAGACUGGUGUGCUUGAGUACGGGAGAGGAUAGUGGAAUUCCCAGUGUAGAGGUGAAAUUCGUAGAUUUUGGGAAGAACACCGGUGGCGAAGGCGGCUAUCUGGACCGUAACUGACGCUGAGGCGCGAAAGCGUGGGGAGCAAACAGG